UCUCCGUAGGUGAACCUGCGGAGGGAUCAUUACAGAGUUCUCGCCCUCGCGGGUAGAUCUCCCACCCACUGUUAUCGUUACUGUGUUGCUUUGGCGGGCCGCCGGGCCCCGCUCGGCCGCCGGCUCCGGCUGGCGCGCGCCCGCCAGAGGCCCAGCAAACUCUGAAUGUUAGUGUCGUCUGAGUACUAUAUAAUAGUUAAAACUUUCAACAACGGAUCUCCUGGUUCUGACAUCGAUGAAGAACGCAGC
RNAcentral lists this unclassified non-coding RNA (249 nucleotides) under plant metagenome. RNAcentral's name for it is "partial contains small subunit ribosomal RNA, internal transcribed spacer 1, and 5.8S ribosomal RNA". The stretch from base 201 to 249 matches the Rfam family "5.8S ribosomal RNA", at positions 1 to 49 of the family's 154-position model. The record is from RNAcentral.